Cyprinus carpio (common carp) is the source of this 977-nucleotide long non-coding RNA. The record is from Ensembl. Lineage: Eukaryota; Metazoa; Chordata; Actinopteri; Cypriniformes; Cyprinidae.
UGUUGAAUCAUGAAUAACGUCACAGUGUCGUGUGCAGAGAUUCAGACUCCUGUGGGGUUUGUGUAUGUGAUUCUGUCUGUUUUACUGAAUCACACCAAACAUCCAGACUGUGAUCAUUGGUGGUAUUCACAGGACGGGCGUCUGAUAGCAGAUCCAUCCGAUCCUCAGAGACUGAUUUAUCCUGUUAUUUCUGUCUCUUCUGAUCGUCUCGUCACGUCUCAGUGUGUGAAUCUGAAUCAUGAGAUCAUCUGUCAUGCUUCAAGAUUCAGACUGGAGACCGUGUUCAGAGUGAGGAAUGAAACUGCAGUGACUCCAGACUCAGAUGUUCUGAAUGAAGUGACUCCAGAUCUCAAACACUCAGAUCAGUGGUGGCUGUUUGCUCUCUUCAUCAUCAUCAUCAUCAUCUUGAUCUGUUUCUUGCUGCGUAAAAGGAUCUUCAGAUGUGUUCUGAGAGCAGAGACGAGUGUUUGUCAGAUUAAUGAUUCAGUAAACAGGGAUCCUAAAUCUGGAGUCCAGAUGAAGUUCAGAUCAGAUGAUCCUUGUUCGCUGAAUGAAUCUGAAUCUGAGCAGCUUGACGGCUUCAUGUUUAGAGGAUGAUCAUCAUCUGAAAGAUUGAGUCAACAUCUCAGGUCAUUUUGCCAUUGACUCAAACUCAUUUUUCUGAAGGGAUUUCUGUCUUUGUGAUUUGUAAUGCUUUUAUAUUCAUUAGCCUUCUGUUUGCACAUAUGACACACAUUAUAGUAUUUAUUGUACUUUUACUGUAAAGGAAAAGCUAUGCAUUUUCUACCUGCCAAUCUGAACUGUUAUUGUUAUUGAACUGGAUUAAUCGGAAUAAUGACUAUGUUGAGCUGCUUUACUCUGCAUUUGUUUCAUAACUGAAGAACUUUGUUACAUUAACUCUGUUUUUUUCCUGUUUUACUUAAUCAGUCUUUACUGUAAAAAAGCCCUACAUAAAUAAAGCUGACUUGACCUGCUCA